This 28656-nucleotide long non-coding RNA is filed under the name Eucalyptus grandis. RNAcentral's name for it is "long non-coding RNA (EGRA_LNC001032)". Lineage: Eukaryota; Viridiplantae; Streptophyta; Magnoliopsida; Myrtales; Myrtaceae. The record is from RNAcentral.
AUCGACUAUUCUCGUUUACUCUCCAAUCUAUACUAUAAUUUUAACUACUCUGCAAGUUUUUCAGGACUCUGUUGUUGAAAAUUUUUGCAGGCGUUUGGUUCAUGCAUUGUCAUCUGGAAAUUCACACAACCUGGGGACUCAAGAUGGCCUUCUUGGUGGACAAUGGGAAAGGCCCAAACGAGUCGCUGCUACCGCCUCCAAGCGAUCUUCCGAAGUGUUGAUCCAUGAGGAGAAAUUCUAUAGUCAAGUAUGCAGUAGCUCGAGAUGAAGAGUGAUGAGAAAAGAAAAUAGAGCCUUACCACAAAGGAAAAGGCUUAUACAGGUGGUUUUAGCCUAGUAAAAUGAAGAUCCGAAUUGUUUUAAAAGAAUUCUUUGUUUUGAUUGCAAUAUUCGUAUUCCGUAGGAAAUUUCUUUAAAGAACAAGAUUCUGCCAUUUGCUAAGUUGCAAAUUUCUGAUAAGUUUCUCGCAUUAGUGUGGACACGGAGACUGACCAUCUUGGAAAAAGACUUGAUGGUAGUAAUUGAGGAUGAUGUAUCAGAAAUUUUAUAGCGGUCCACUUUGAAAAAAUAGAAGGCCAUUGUAAAGCAGAUAACUUUAAUAUGAAACAAGACUUGAUAGUCGGAAUACGAUCACGCGAUCAAAUUAUAUUGGGCAUUCCAUAACUCCGUCGGGGAAAAAUGUGGCUCAACAAUUUGGUGGAGUCCUUACGUUCUAACACUGACUUAUGGGGGAUACCUUUAUAAAGCUAAGGUCUCCUCUCCACUCCCUAUACACUUGUCCUAUAUUGGAAAGGAAGAUCUCAUAAAAAGGAAUAGACCAAAACAAAUUAAUAGAAUCCAUUGUAUUGAAUUAUUCAUGUGGCUGAGAGACCUCGCAGCUCAGGCAUGGCAACGCAAUUAUUUGGAGCGUUCUCUGCCAUUGAGCUAUAAUAGCCCAUCGUCCAAGCUCCCACUGGGUCCGCUACGUCAGAAGGGAGCAAAACCACAUCCCUCUCUUUUCCUUUUUUGCUCCCAUAUCGCAAUUCAGGAGGGGCAUGGGGAUAUCUAAACGGGAUUUUAUCAACUUAUUCUAUAAAUUAAACAAUAUUUUCGUCUCCAAGUUGAACCCAAUGUAACUCGCCUCUUUUCGGGUGUAAAGCAAUAUCAAACCUAAAUGUCCAACAAACAUUAACUCUUCCAGAAAAUGAGGUGAUCCAACCACACCUUCCAAUACAACUAUCUUGCUACGAUUUCAUCAAGUCACUAACCAUGUCAUUGGCAUCCCCCUCCUUGCAAUUAAUGUAGCAACUUCGGGCACAGCCAACUUUCAUAAUGUGACGGGUGGUGUGUGAUUUAACUUCAUCAAGUGUUUGUUUAUCAAAAUGUUAUUUAAGUGUUCUAAAUCUCUGUACGAUCUUGGAUCAAAUGUUUUUAAUUAUGUUGGAUCGAUGAUUUUCUUACAUCAUGCUCUUAAGUUUUUCCUCAUAAAGCCUACUGAGGUGCAUUUACGUACCUUCAAUUAAGCAAUAGCACAAAGUUUCGUUCCUUUUAUUACAAACAAAAAUAAAUAAAUAAUUAAAUAUCGAGACCGCCCAUUCGGAUUUUGACUCGUCCCACACUAUUAUGUCAUUUGCACAAAGUUUCAUUUCUUUUAUUACAAUCUAUAGAGAAAAAAAAAUCAAUAUCAAGACCGUCCAUUCGGAUUUUGGCUCGUCCCAUACUAUUACGUCAUUUGUACCAUUAGAGGUAAGAGUAGCAUAUCAAUAACUAGAAAACCACCUAGUUCCUGAUGAGCACAUGAAGUGUCGAGAUUGAACCUAAGACUAUAGCGACACCAUGCCCCUCAAAGAAUGAACUUAUAACUUUAUUAAGACGCACAUAAUAACUAUUCUACUUCUAGAGCAACAGCAUCAUAACAGCAUCAUGGUGACGAAGCCAUCGUUCAAAGCCAAGAUUUGCCACUUUGAGACCGCCCAGUUAUGCGGCGGGGUAGACGAGAAUAACGUGCUUUAGGAGCGCGCGGGUCUGGCAGGGGGCAGCGGCAUUAUCAAGGAGGGGGGCCAAGAUUUUAUGUUGUAAUCAAAUGAAUUUAUGUUCCAAAAACAAAAAUUUUGUAUCAUUAUUAAACACAAUCAAAUGCUGAGAAAUUGAUUAGGAAAUAGAAAUAGAAAAAUAUAUUCCUAACCAAAAGUUGUUCCCUAAAAUAUAAUGAUUAUCAUUCGCGCCUUUAGUAUCUAGAUAAAUCUGUGUAAUUUUAAUCUUUUGAUGCAUCACUUUGACUCUUUUUUUUUCAUCAUAAACACUUGAAAAGUGCACAAAUAUUACAACGUAAGUUCACAUACAGAUCUUUUAAAAAAUCAUAAUUUGGAUAAUAUUUCAAAAAUUUUGCGGCAAAACAAAAAAAGCACUAUUUACUUAAGUGAACAAUUGGGUGUGGAAUUGUUAUUCUAGGUCUUUCCUAUUUGAUAUAUUACAUAAUUCCUAUUGGUUUCUGGUUACUCGCAUUUUUUGUCUUUUAUCAGGCAAGCCGUCAACAAUGCAGAUACACUGUUUAGCCUGGGAUUUCUGGUAGUUUAUUGAUAUGAUUAAGAGUUAGAUUUCUGAGCUCGUGCCCUGAUCAUAAAAGAAAAUAAUAAUAAUAAUAAUAAUAAUAAUAAUAAUAAUAAUAAUAAUAAUAAUAAUAAUAAUAAUAAUAAUAAUAAUAAUAAUAAUAAUAAUAAUAAUAAUAAUAAUAAUACGAUAAAAGUCUUUCAAUAUUUCUUUCCUUUUAUCUCGCUUCUACUAUCCUGCAUCAGUUCCUCAUGCGGGAUGCAAUUUCUCAAGGACAGAGAUGCACUUACUGAAAUGACUAUGUUUCCGGGGAGUCAACAUGUACUUACCGAAAUGAGUAUGUGUCCGACUAUUCCCCACAUUUUAUGAAGGCCCACGGACCCAAAGAGAGAUUGCAGCUCAUUAGCCCACUAUUGAGGAUUUCCAAACCAGUCUCAAAUCUUUUGACUAGGUUUGAUAGACAAGACAAAAGUCCAAAUUGAAUAAAAUUUAUCAUAUCUCAUAUUGGGUUCCUGUCUAAGAAAGAAUAAAAUUAGAUUGGAUAUAAUAUGAAAUAGUUCGAAUAAAAUCAUCUCAUGGGGUAGAAUAAAGAUGAAUCAGAUUUAUUAUAUAUCCAUGACGUAAAAUUUAUUUCUCGUGAAUAACAAAUUUCUUUAGUUAGAAAAAUUAAAAUAAUUAUUAAAUAUAAAGUAAUACUUGGAUUCUGUUAAAUAAAAAAAAGAGAAAUUCGAAAGAACUAAUGGACAAUUAUCAUUUUUUAUCUAUUUCUUUUUUUAAUAUAUUUGAAUUUCUUUCCGCUUUAUCAUAUGUAUUUGUAUAUAUAUUUAUAGUUAUAUAGUAUAUAUACUUGUACAAUAGUAUAUAUAUUUAUACAAAUUAUAUAUUAUUAUAAUUUAUUAUUUAAUAAAAACUUUUUGAAGGAAUGAUGGAAGGGACUAAGAAAGAAAUAGAAAAGAGAGGAAAAAUAAUUUAAAAAAUAAGUAAAUAAAAAUGAAGUAGAAUAACCCCAAUUUUAAAUGAAUAAUUCAAACUUAAUGUCUUCUUGAGAAAUGUUUUAGAUAUCCUAAGCUACAACAGAUAUUUUUCUCAAUAUUUUUAGAGACUUAAAAGAAUGAGAUAUCAGCUCCGUCAUUUACAAAUAGAGCUUCAAUUUCUUUAGAACUGGUGACUUUUUAGAAUUCUAGGGGUUUUUAUUAACUCUUAGAUUUCGAAUUUCAAAAUGGUUUUUUCAUAAAAGUUAAUUUUCACAUCUUGUAAGUUAACAUACUCAAAUUUCAAAUCAAACGGACAUGUUUUGGACAUCGAACCAAACUAAUUUCGAAAAACAGACUUUCUGGAAACUGACUCAAUUUUUUGUGCUGAAUUGAGCAAUUUAUUGGGCCGAAUCUAGAAGGAUCUGGGUUAAGGUGUCUUCAUAAAAAAAAAAAUGUUUGUUUAUGUGUACUCUAUAACAUAUUCAAAUUUGAGAAUUUUCUAAGUUCAUUCAGGUAGGUUUCUGGAAUUAGACUUAGAGACGUGUGAGUGGUCCGAUUUCUACCAAUUAGGACCGGUUAUGGUUUUGCGGUUGAUCUUGACAUUGUGCUUGCUAAAUAAGGUGUAUUUAAUGAUGUGGUGGACUAGUGGCAUGCUGAGAAUUUAUGUGUGAGGUUGUGAGAUGGAUUGCUCUAUGCCGGUUGGUUUGUGAUGUGCCUAGAGUUUAUGCUUGAUGAUCGUGUGAUGUUGUGGGUUAGAUCAAGAAAACCACCGAACUUGGAAUCAGUUGUGCUCGCUGAGCCGUAAUUCAGCAUUACCAUGUAAUCUAGGUUGUGCUCGCUGAGCUAUAGUUCAGCAUUACCACUGAACUUGAAAUCGGUUGUGCCUGCUGAGCCUUAAUUCAAUAUUACCACCAAAGAUUUAGUAGGUUGUGCCUGUUGAGCUGUAAUUCAGCAUUACCACCAAAGAUUUAGUAGCCCGUGCUCGUUGAGCCAUAAUUCAGCAUUGUGAUUGAGUGAUUGAGAUGACCAAGGAAUGGUUUGGUUGACAUAUAAUCGAUUGAGUUGAUUGAUCGAUGAUUCAAUCUAAAUUCUUGAUGGACGUGAUUGGAGUCGGUAGCCAUUACUAAUUGGCUUGACUUAUAAAUAGUCUGGAUGACAUGAAAUCGACUAGUUCGAUUAACCAGUGAUUUGAUCAACUUGAUGAUUUAAUUGCAAUUAUUGCUUUGAUGUGUAUCGGUAGUUUUUACUCAUGUGAGCAGUGAUUAAAUUGUAAUUCUUACUCGUGUGAGUAAUGAUUGGUUUGGACAUUCCAAAUUGGUGUGUGAAUUUGUUAUAUACACACGGUUGUGAUAAGAACGGUGCUGACCUACAAGAAGAAACUAAGACCAAAGUAAGCCUUUGUGAUUGUGUGAUUGUGUGAUUAAGACGUCUUAGGCGUAUUACCCUCCUAAUCGAGGUUUAGAGUGUGAACUCGCUGAGAUUCAUAUCUCACCCCAUCGUGGGCUUCAUUUUUCGGGACCGUAGGGUGGAAGGCCUAGAGCUGAGCUGAGGUGAUCUAAAGUAUAGGUCAGAUAAAAUAGUUCCUUUUGAGAGUCAGUCUUUUGAAGUCUUGUAACUGUAGACUUUUGUAUUUGACUCGGUGUGUAUUUAAAAGCAUGUUUUGUUUGAAAAUCUGAUGUCCUACUUUUCUAUCCCAAUAUGGUUACUAUCAGGAGAUUUGUUAUUCGCUUUUGCAUGUGCAAUGAAAUGAAAGGGUCGGCGACUCAUCCUGGGAAGUCGCAAAAUUUUAUCAACUACUAAGGGAUGGGCACGCACUUGAGAAUCAGGGCGUGACAAGUAUCACCUAGAAGAGGUGAAUAGGUGAUCUCAAGGAACUUGACAAAUAAAGUGGAAUUAAAUUUGUCACAUCCCAAAUCUUUCCUCGCCACAGAAACUCAACAUCUGCUAGGGGAUUAAUUUGCAACGUCUUAGGAAGCUUCGCUAUCCCAUUGGUUUUAAUCUUCAAUUAAGCACAUGCGAAAGCGUGCAACUCAACACCCAAAAAACAACUACACUGGAUCAUAAGGAAACACACAUACACUAUACAACUUAUAUAUGCUUCACAAGCUAACCGCUUUGGGGCCAUUCUAAUUUUCAUCCCACAAAAAGAUAUAAGGAGAUGGGUUCACAAGCUUUAAGUGGAGUCUAUCUUCUCUAGCGAAAUACUAACCAAAAAGAAACUCCCCUACAAGGACCAACUAUCUAGGCAUCACCUACUGGGCUAUUGGGCGGACCAUCAUCCUCAUUUGGUCUAGGCGGUCCAUAGAACCUAUGGAGGGGCCCGAAGAGAUCCCCAUCAAACCAUGCGUACCAAACUCAGUAGCUAUGAAGCAUGAGAUCGUUGUAGCCCUCAUCCACCAAAAUAGUAGUAGUGAUCCUUCGGAAUGCAAUAUCCUCCCUAAACACAUCCAACACUGUAACCUCCAUAGUCAUGGGGACCCCAAAAUCACAUGAAACGAGCAAGCAGAGGAUUCAUACCUAUUGGCCUGAAAAAGUUUAAACAACAAUGAAUGAGUUGAACUCUCAAUAAGUAAAUAACCUAAAUCUCGUAUAGGCAAAUGCCUUGCAUCGGAACCUUACAAAUGCUUGACCCCAACAUGUCGAUGGUAGAUCAAUAAUAAAGCAUUUGCUUUGCUUUAAUUAUAUAUAUAUAUAUAUAAGAAAGGGAAUCCUUAGCCAUCUAGAUUACUCUCUCUAUCUAGAACCUAUGGAACAUGACAUACUCAUAACAAUUCUAUAUGUGUCAAUUAAAGAUAUUAAAAAUUCAGAUGUGCUUCACAAGUCACGUUUAAUAGCAUCAAAAAUUCACAUGUGUCAUACAACAACCUCAAAGUUCUUAACAUGGCUCCUUAAAUAAUGUCAUCUAAAAUGUUCACAUGCCUCUCAUGUCAAAAUUUAUGAUAAUUAACUCAUACACAAGCCUUCUCAUAUUAUAAAAAUGACCAAUAAAUUAUGCACAUGUUUCAUGCAUCAUAAACAAUGGCAUGCGACAUGUCACGCUUCAAUCUUCGAGCGCGUGCCCAUCCCUCGGUGGUCGAUAAAUUUGCGAUGUCCUAAGACACAUCACGGACCCAUUCAUUUUAUUACGCACGCGGAAGCGAACAAAACCCCUAACAACCAUUAACUUGGGUUAGAAAAGUAUGCAACAAUUCACAACCAAAACAAGCAUUUUAUAAACACACAAGUUUAUAUACAAUACCAGGUUGUUUAUAAAAUAUCGGCUCAACAAAAAGGGGACUAUCCUAUGGCCCACUAGUCCGACACGUUCGCCGAUUUUUCGAUCUCCUCCUCCACAAACUCCGAAGCUUUGAGUCCUCCACCACUGACAUCUAAGGACCUUAAAAUGUUGAGCCCACGAUGGGGUGAGACAAUGUCUUAGCAAGUUUACCCCUUAAACUCCGACUAGGAAGGAAAUACGCCUAGAGGCAAUUUAUGCACAAUCUAUGCCUUAGUCCCUUCAUGCAUGUCAGUACAAUUCAUAUGCAAUCAUUGCUCACACAAGCAUAUGCAAUCAUUGCUUGCACAAGCAUGAACUACCAACACACAUCGGUCCAUCAAUUCAAUCAAUCGAAUCAUCAAUCCAUGGUCACACAAGCUAAGAUACAAUAUUACUCACGCAAGUUGAAUUCUAACAAUGCUCACACAAGCUGACAUAGAUCAUUGAGAUCAUUGCUCACAUAAGCUAACAUUCCAUUAGGCUCGCACGAAUUGUCAUACAAUUGGGCUCACACAAGCAUGCAAUUCAAUAUCACUCACACAAGCUGUCAAUUCAACAAUACUCACACAAGCUUCUAUCGUACUUAAAAACCACAUUGGGUGUCACAACCUGACAUCCGAUAUUUUCGAGUUAAAUACCAAAACUUCACCAACAUCAUUCAAUUUCACCAUUUAACAAUCAAUUUGUACAAACUGACCACACGACUGCGAUCAAUGCGAAAUUCUAAUGAUUGGCUAUUCCAGCAUAAUUUUCGGAAAAUAUUAAUUAAUUAAAUUCUGAAAAUUUAAUUAAUAUAAAUAUAAAAUAAUUUAAUUAAAUAAUAUUAAAUAAUAUUAAAUAAUAUUUAUUUUUAAAAAAUAAAAUAAUUAAUUAAAAGCCUAAUCAUGCUUACACUAAUCUAAUUGCAUGAUUAGAGUAAUUAAUCUAUUCACUAAACUAAUCAUUCAUCUAAUCUAAUUAACAAUUAACUAAGAUAAUCUAACCACCUAAACCAUCAUUAGACUAAUCUAAUCACCCUUAAGCAGAGUUUAGUGAGUAAACUCAUCAGAUUAGCAUUCCGAUGAGUCCACGGUGACAACGAUGCGGAGGCGGGCGACAAUCCUCCUAGUGGCGACACCAAACAAGGCAUGGAAAUGAACUAAAACAGGCCUCAAAGACUGAUAGUUCUUGCUAGCUUCGGUUUCUGCUCCAAGGACUGAAAGAGGAGAAACUAGUGGCUAAACGAUGAGGAAGGGUUGAUUGAAGCUUUGACAAGUGGGUGACCGGCAACCGGUAGCACUUGGGGGUCAAAGGGGACUUGUUGGUGGUUGGGAUGGGUGAAGGAAGGGUCGAAAUGGGAGGAAACACACUGAAAAUGCAAAACAGUGCACUCCAAGCGGACUCCAGGCGGUUUGGCAAGCAGCAACUUUUGGCCAGCGGACAGGUCGGCCAGCGGCUCCGUUCGGCAAACAAUGAAGUGCUCCCAUAUGGUUUGGACCUCCUAGACAUGGUGGUGGGUGGCACGGAGGUUGAUUCUCACGGGAAAAUAACUUUUAACAUGGGUUUUUGGAGAAAGGUCAGCUGAAGCAAAAACUAGAAGAAGAAGAAAACAUGGGGGGAAAUAGGUCGAUGGUGGCUCCGAUGGCCUAGGCAUCGUGCGACGGGCAAGGGGAAGGGCUAAGCUCAGGUUCUCUAUAAUUUUUGGGAGCUUCAAGGGUCUGAAAAUGGAGAAAGCAGAGUUGAGGGAGGAAGAAAGGGGAUAGCUCUAGCUUUAAGGGUCCCUCCAAGCUUCUUUCUAUCCCUUUGUUCCCUUUGAGAGGUCCCACCUUGGCUUGGCUGGCUUUCAUAGCCAUUUGUAGACCACAAAGCGUCCUUAGGAAGCCAAGGAGGUGGUCCAAAAGGUUAAGGACCAAGGGGCUACGAAUUUUGGAUAAUUGCACAUCAAAUUCAUUCAAUUCCCCUUCAAUUCUUAUCCAAUUGGACUCAAUUUGAUAUCCAUAAAUCCAACCAAGGUAUCAUCAUCCAAAUCAACAUUUUUCCUCACCAAAUAGUCCAACUUGAAUCCCAAAAAAGAAAUCAAAAGCAGUCCUCGAACUUUCCUGAUCCAAAAUAACCGUACUUUGGACAUUUCGUCGAAAAUCUCAGUUUGCAGAAAAAUAUUCGGAGGAUAAGUCAACGCUCCUAAAAUGAAUUGUGACAUGGAAAAACUUUCAAUUUCUGAAUUCGGACUCCAAUUCAUGGUUAAUUUCAAUCUAGCGUGAUUUUAGCGCGUCAUAAUCUAUUUGGUAGUUUUUAGGAACUUUUAACGCUUUUGACCUGUGAUCAAUUGUUUUCGAGCCAUAAAGUGUAUCUUUGACACAUUAGCGACUUUCGAUCAUCAUGGAAAUCUCGAGAUUACAAAUGUGGACACUAGGUACGAAAACGACAAAAAAAUCAAAUCUAGUGCCGAUCGAUAAGAAUUGUGCAAUUAAAUGGAAUCACACAUACUUAAUCACAUGGUUCUAUCGAGUCGACCUAUCUUCUAUCUCUAACUGGUCUGUGCUGUAAAGACCCUUGCAAAUAAGCACGGUCGAGCAAUCAAUUCAUAUUCGAAUUCUCAAGUCUAUUAUGUUAAAUCCCUUAACGACUUCACAUGACAGACCAGUUAUCCCGUAAAUGAUCAGCUCAGGAAAAAGGACUAUAAACGCGUCGAUGAAAAGCCCAACUCAAUCAAUCGAAAGUAGAACCUGAAAUUCAGGAUAUCACAACUCUCCCCCUCUUAUAAAAAUUUUGUCCUCGAAAUUUAAACCUAUCUUUAAACAAAAAAAUGGGGGUACAAUCGUCCCAUCGACUCUUCACUCUCCCAAGUUAUUCCUUUAGUAUUGUGGUGUUGACAGACCACUUUAAUCAACGGGAUCGUCUUAGUACGUAGAAUUUGUUCUUUCCAAUCCACAAUCUGAACUAGGCUUUUCAUGUACGACACUUUGUCGUUUACGUCUAAUUCCUCAAAAUUAAGCAUGUGGUCGAGUCAGGCUCAUACCUCCUCAACAUUGACACGCGAAAGAUAUAGUGUACUUGUGCCGAUCUUGGCGGCAAUGCAAGACGAAACGCUAAGAUCCCAAUUCUCUCUAGAAUCUCAAAGAGACCUACGUACCUUGAACUCAGUUUUCCCUUCUUGCCAAAACGCAAAGUACCCCUCAUCAAUAACACCUUUAGGAAAACGUGAACAACAACUUGGAAUUCCAAUGGUCUCUAACACUUAUCUACGUAGCUUUUCUGGCGGCUCUAAGCGAUCUUUAGCCUAUCCCUGAUGACUACAACUACAUCCAUUGACUAUUGAACCAAUUCUGAGCCCGUAAUCUUUCUCUCCCCGACUUCAUCCCAACACACGGGCGUUCUUCCCGCUCUACCAUACAACACUUCGAAAGGAGCUAUUUGAAUGCUCUGCUAGUAACUGUUAUUGUAGGCAAACUCAACAAGGUGAAGCUAUUCCUCCCAACUUCCUUUGAAAUCCAACAUGCAAGCUUGCAGCAUGUCUUUGAGGAUUUGAAUUGUCCUCUCAGACUAUUCCGUUUUAGAAUAAUAUGCUGUAUUGUACUGCAGUUUUGUUCCUAAAGCAGCCUACAAACUUUUCCAAAAAGCAACUGUGAAACUCAGGUCUUAGUCUAAAGUUAUCAUCACCAGCACUUCAUGCAAACAAACUAUCUAACGCACAUACAACUCUACGUGCCUAUCCAAAUCAAGGUCCUUCCGUACUACGAUGAAGUGAGCCGACUUCAUCAGUCUGUCGACCACUACCCAAAUGGAAUCAUUACAUCUCUGACUCCUCGGUAAGCCUGUCACAAAGUCCAUCAUGAUGUGCUCCCAUUUCCACUGUGGGAUCUCGAGAGGUUGUAGAAGUCCUCCCGGCUUACAAUUUUAUGCCUUCACUUGCUGACACGUUAGACACUUAGCGACAAGAUUGGCGAUAUCCGCCUUCAUACCAAACCACCAGUAGUAUUGAUGUAGAUUUUAAUACAUCUUUGUACUGCUAAGAUGAAUGCUGUAACUGCUACAAUAAACUUCUAAUAAAAUCUCCUCUCUAAGCUCCGUAUCAUCGGGUACACACAAUCGUCUUCGGAAUCUCAGUGUUCCAUCCUUAGAGAUCUGAAAGUUAGAUUUUCUCUUAUCAGUGUCCUCUUAUAGAAUCUUCUAAACAUUUGGGUCUGUCAGCUGAAGUGCCUUGAUUCUGAUCUGAACAUCCGGCUCAAUUCUGAGGAUGGCCAUGAGAUGUGAAAGGUAGCCUACCUCAAAUUUGAAAACCGAAUCUCGAGCUCUCUUGAGUAAAACCCAUUCCUUGACCAUCAUCUAUGCAACUCAAGACUUCUAACUCAAAGCGGCCGGGACCUUAUUUGCCUUCCCAAGGUGAUACAAAACAUUACAAUCGUAGUCCUUCAGAAGUACCAUCCAACGAUGUUGUUUCAUGUUCAACUCCUUCUGAAAAUAAUGUCUCCAAAUCUUCAAAGCAAAAAUGAUUGCCGCGAGUUCCAAGUCAUGCGUCGGGUAAUUCUGUUCAUGGGGUCUCAACUGAUGGGAGGCAUAUGCAACAACCCUACCAUAUUGUAUCAGAAUGCAACCCAAUCCUCUAAAUGACGCAUCACUAUAUAUCUCGUAUCCUCCAAGACCAAAAGGUAUGGUCAGCAUAGGUGCAGUAGUUAGCUUUUAAUUAAGCACUUGGAAACUACGCUCGCACUUGUCUAUCCACACAAACUUUUCUUCUUUCUUCAGGAGUCGAGUCAACGGCAAUGCUAAGGCUGAACAUCCUUCCACAAACCGUCUAUAGUACCUGGCCAAACCCAAGAAGCUUUUGAUCUCUAUCACGGUCGUCGGUCUUGGCCAGUUGAUUACUGUUUCAAUCUUAGACGGGUCCACAGAGAUUCCUUCACCUAAAAUCAUGUGACCUAAGAAUGCAACACGAGUCAAUCAAAACUCGCACUUGCUAAACUUAUCAUACAAUCCAUGGAUUCUCAGGGUUUGGAGCACUAUCCUCAAAUGACUCUUGUGCUCCUCAGCACUUCUCGAGUAUACCAGAAUAUCAUCGAUGAACGUGAUCGCAAAUUGAUCCAGUUACUCUUUAAACACUCGAUUCAUUAAAUCCAUAAAAGCAGCCAGAGCGUCUGUCAAACCAAAUGGCAUUACAGUAAACUCAUAAUGAUUGUAUUGAGUACAAAACACUGACUUCAGUAUAUCCUCCUUUCUGAUUCUCAACUGGUGAUACCCUGUCCUCAAGUCAAUCUUUGAAAAUAUCAACGCUCCUUGCAACUGAUCAAACAAGUCGUCAAUCCUCAGCAGUGGAUACUUGUUCUUGAUCAUCACCUGAUUGAGUUGACGAUUGUCGAUGUAUAAGUGUAAUGAACCAUCUUUCUCCUUCACGAACAAAGUUGGUGCUUCCUAAGGUGAUGCAGUAGGACGUAUGAAUCCAUUAUCUAACAAUUCAUGCAUCUGUAUCUUUAGUUAUUUCAACUCAAAUAACGCCAUCCGAUAAGGAGCCUUAGAGAUUGGCUUUGUCCCGGGUACUAACUCAAUCACAAACUCUCUCUCUCUCUCUCUCUCUCUCUCUCUCUCUCUCUCUCUCUCUCUCUCUCUCUCUCUCUCUCUAGCAGCAGGCUUGGCAAUUCUUUCGGAAACACGUCCGAAAACUCUUGGACUAUUGAGAUGUCCUCAAUCUUCAGCUCCUUGACUGUUGUAUCCACAACAAUCAGAUACAACAGUCAAGGAGCUGAAGAUCGAGGAUGCAACCCCCAUCUAACAAAUGGGUUGCCUCAAGUGACGAGAUUAAGGAAAUCGAGAGUCCUCCUCGACUCCUAGANNNNNNNNNNNNNNNNNNNNNNNNNNNNNNNNNNNNNNNNNNNNNNNNNNNNNNNNNNNNNNNNNNNNNNNNNNNNNNNNNNNNNNNNNNNNNNNNNNNNCAACUACUCGGCUAUAAAGGAAUGAGUGGUACCAGGGUCAAACAAAGCAUAUGCAGCAUGGUCAUUUAACGAGACCAUACUUAUAAUCACAUUAGGCGCAUCCUCAGCUUGUCCUCUCGUGAUAAUGUACACUUGUGCUUGUGCUGGGGGUCUAUUCAGUCCACCUUGCGGUGCAAUCCUGUGGCACGAACCCUCUAUUCUAACCCAACGGUGGCGGUGGUGAUAACUGUUGUUGUCUUAUUUGCUUUCUGGGACAAUCUCUGGCUUGGUGACCCUAUUAGCCACACUCAAAACAAGAACCCAUACUGAAAUGGCAUAGGAUUGCACCAUGUCGCCUUCCACACAGGCGACAUACACCAUUUUGAUUUGAUGCUAACUUUCCAACUCCACCCUUCCUAUUGGGCAGAACAUGGAACCUUCCUCCGGUCAUUGGCCUCUUCUCAUACUGAUUCCCAUCUCUAUUCGAAUUAAAUAUCGAUCCAAACAAGAUGGCUUGCUCAUUCAGAAUUCUCUCUAGCAGCUAGGCUCGAUUGUAAACCUCAUGAUAGUCCUUCAGAUCCAGUGGUACCAGCGAUCGUUUCAACUCUAGUCGAAGGCCAUUCCUGAACCUUCGAGCUUUAUCUUCUGGAUCUUCUAUCAAUCUCGAAGCAUAUUGAGAAAGCUCUGCAAACUUAACCUCAUACUAGUCAACAAUCAUCAUCCCUUGGCGGAGGUGUUGAAAUUCUUCCAUCUUCUGUUAUUGGGAGCCACCCAAAAAGCAUUUGUCAUUGAAGGCUCUGAGGAAAGCGUUCCACACUGGAACCACGCCUUCAGGAAAUAUCAUACCUCUAGUGGCUCUCCACCAAGUAUUAGCAUUACCUUGCAGCUGGUAGACUGCCAGGACAACCUUCUCCUCCUCAGUGCACAUCAAAAGUGCAAAGGCUUUCUCCAAAUCUUGGAUCCAGAGUGACGCAGCUUCAGGAUCUCCUGCGCCAUUGAACCUUGGCGACCUCAGCUUCAAGAACUACUCAACGAGCUUGUGAAUCGGUCUCCCAGCAACCACGUUCUGAAGUGGAACAUCAACAGGUGUAGCUGUGGCUGUGGUCUCAACGGCGGCAGCAAUGACAAUAGUAGCAACGGCUUGAGCGGCAGCAUCUUGAUUCUAAGCCUGCUACCCUAUCAAAUCUCUCAUCACUUCAAAAGCCUACAUGAUCCCUUCGAACCUGGGAUCACCAAGGGCUGCUACCCCAGCACCAACAGGAGGCAGUGCUACUCCACUAGCACUAACUUGAGCUGGCGCUCGACCAUGACCUCUUCGGGUACUGACCCUCGUCGGCGUCCUACCUCGAGUCGCAGGUCCUAUGGUAUGCUUCCUAAGAGUCCUCUAUUCCUAAUCACUCAUGACUCAAGUUUUCUACUGAAACCUGCCUUUCAAUUUCAUAUAGAAUUAGAAGCUGAGUGAUUACAAACAAACAAUCUACCAACCAUCUAUCACAAAUAUGCACCAUCAAGAAAUAAAGCCAUUUCCUACUAACUAUCCCAUAAACUUAUCGCAUAUUAUCACUCCAACCACUAACCUGCUCUAAUACCACUAACUAGGGAUGUCAUGCCCUGAUCCUCGUGCACGUGCCCAUCUCUCGAUGGUCAAUAAAUUUGCAACGUCUCAGGAUGCAUCGCCAACCCAUUCAUUUUAUUACGCAUGUAGAAGCGAACAAAACCCUUGACAACCAUUAACUUUGGGAUAGAAAAGUAGGCAACAAUUUACAACCAAAACAAGCCUAUUAUAAACACACAGGUUUAUAUACAAUAUCAUGCUAUUUACAAAAUAUCGGCUCAAUAAAAAGGGGACUGUCCUAUGACCCACCAGUCCGACACGUUUGAUGAUUCUUCGAUCUCCUCCUUCAUAAAUUCUGGAGCUUCGGGUCCUCCACCACUGACAUCUAAGGACCUCAAAAUGUUGAGCCCACGACGAGGUGAGACAAUGUCUUAGCAAGUUUACCCCCCCUAAACUCCGACUAGGAAGGAAAUACGCUUAGAGGCAAUCUAUGCACACAAGGCAAAAGACUUACCUUGCCUCAAUCCCUUCCUACAUGUCAGUACAAUUCAUAUGCAGUCAUUGCUCGCACAAGCAUGAACUACCGAUACACAUCGGUCCAUCAAUUCAAUCAAUCCAAUCAAUCAAUCCCUGCUCACACAAGCUGAGAUAUACUAUUGCUCACAUAAGCUUACUUCUAACAAUGCUCACACAAGCUGACAUAGAUCAUUGAGAUCAUUGCUCACACAAGCUAACUGAUCAUUGCUCUCACAAGUUGACUUUUAUAUUUGCUCACACAAGCUAACUUAUCCUCACUCACACAAGCUGACCUAUCCUCGCUCACACAAGCUGACAUUCCAUUAGGCUCACACGAUCUGUCAUACAAUAGGGCUCACACAAGCAUGAACUACCGACACACAUCGGUCCAUCAAUUCAAUCAAUCCAAUCAAUCAAUCCUUGCUCACACAAGUUGAGAUACACUAUUACUCACACAAGUUGACUUCUAACAAUGCUCACACAAGCUGACAUAGAUCAUUGAGAUCAUUGCUCAUCCAAGCUAACUGAUCAUUGCUCUCACAAGCUGACUUUUAUAUUUGCUCACACAAGUUGAUUUAUCCUCGCUCACACAAGCUGACAUUCCAUUAGGCUCACACGAACUGUCAUACAAUAUGGCUCACACAAGCAUGCAAUUCAAUAUUGCUCACACAAGCUGUCAAUUCAACAAUACUCACACAAGUUGUUAUCGAAUUUAAAAACCACAUUCAAUGUCACAACUCGAUACUCAAUAUUUUCGAGUUAAAUACCAAAACUCCACUAACAUCAUUCAAUUUCACCAUUUAACAAUCGAUUUGUACAAACUGACCACACCACUGCAAUCAGUGCGAAAUUCUAACGAUUGACCAUCCCGGCAUAAUUUUUGAAAAAUAUUGAUUAAUUAAAUUCGAAAAUUUUAAUUAAUUUAAAUAUAAAAUAAUGUAAUUUAAUAAUAUUUAUUUGAAAUAAAUAAAAUAAUUAAUUAAAAUUCUAAUCAUGCUUACACUAAUCUAAUUGCAUAAUUAAACUAAUUAAAUCAUCCACUAAACUAACCAUUCAUGUAAUCUAAUUAACAAUUAACUAAGCUAAUCUAACCACCUAAACGAUCAUUAAACUAAUCUAAUCACCCAUCAAGCACAAUUAACUCCCUAAUCAGAGUUUAGUGAGUAAACUCACCGAAUUAACAUUCCGAUGAGUCCAUGGCAAUGACGACGAUGACGCGAAGGCGGGCGACAAUCCUCCUAGUGGUGACUCCAAACAAGGCCCGAAAGGGACCUAAAACAGGCCCGAAGAUUGAAAGCCUUUGCUGGCUUCAGUUUCUAUUCCAAGGACCGAAGGAGGAGAAACCAGUGGCUGAACAAUGAGGAAGGGCUGAUCAAAGCUUCGGUGAGCGGGUGGCUAGCAACUGGCAGCACCUAAGGGUCAAGGGGGACUUUUUGGUGGUUGGGAUGGGUUGAGGAAGGGUUAGAAUGGGAGGAAACACGUAGAAAACGUGAAAUAGUGCACUCUAGGCGGACUCCAGGUGGUUCGGCGAACGGCGACUUCCAGCCGACGGACGAGUCGGCCGGCGGCUCCGUUUGGCAAACGAUAAGGUGCUCUCGUACGGUUUGGACCUCUUGGACAUGGUGGUGGGUGGCACAAAGGUUGAUUCUCAUGGGAAGACAACUUUUAACUCGGGUUUUUGGAGAAAGGUCAGCUGGAGCAGAAACAGGAAGAAUGAGAAAAGAGAGGGGGAAAAAGAUAUCGAUUGGUGGCUCCGAUGGCCUAGGCGGCGUGCGAUGGGCAAAGGAGAGAGGUUGAGCUCAGUUUCUCUAUAAUUUUUGGGAGCUUCAAGGGUCUGAAAAUGGAGAAAGCAGAGUUGAGGGAGGAAGAAAAGGGACUACUCUAGCUUUGAGGGUCCCUCCAAGCUUCUUUCUAUCACUUUGUCCCCUUGGAGAGGUCCCACCUUGGCUUGGCUAGCUUCCACAAUCAUUUGUAGACCACAAAGCUUGCUUAGGAAGCCAAGGAGGUGGUCCAAAAGGUUGAGGACCAAUGGGCUACGAAUUUUGGACAAUUACACAUCAAAUUCAUUCAAUUCUCCUUCAAUUCUUAUCCAAUUGGACUUAAUUUGAUGUCCAUAAAUGCAACCAAGGUGCCAUCAACCCAAUCAACAUUUUUCCUCACCAAAAUAGUCCAACUUGAAUCCAAAAAACCACAUUAAAAGCGGUCCUCGAAUUUUUCCAAUCCAAAAUAACCUUACUUUGGAUUUUUCGCCGAAAAUCUCGAUUUGUAGAAAAAUCUUUGGUGGAUGAGUGACGCUUCUAAAAUGAUUUGUGACAUGAUAGAACUUUCAAUUUUUGAAUUCGGGUUCCAAUUCGCAGUUAAUUUCAAUCCGGCGUGAUUUUAGCGCAUUCUAAUUUACUGGGUAACUUUUAAGAACUUUUAAUGCUUUUGACCUGUGGUUAAUUGUUUUCGAGCCACAAACUAUAUCUUGGACACAUUGGCGAUUCUCGAUUGUCGUGAAAAUCUUGAGAUUUCAAAUGCGGACAUAGGAUACCAAAACGAUAGAGAAAUCGGUCUAGUGUUGAUCGACAAGAAUUGUGUAAUUAGAUGGAAUCACUCAUACUUAAUUACAUGGUUAUGUCGAGUUGGCCUAUCUCCAGUCUCUAAUCAGUUUGUGCCGUAAUGACCCUUAUAGAUUAACACAAUCAAAUAGUCGAUUUCUUUUCGAAUUCUUAAGUCUAUUGCGUUAAAAUCCUUGAACGGCUUCACCAGAUAGACUAGUUAUUCCGUGAGUGAUCAGCUCAAGGAAAAAUACUACAAGCGCAUCGAUGAAAAGCCCAACUCAAUCAAUCAAAAGCAAAACCUGAAAUUCAGAAUGUCACAUGACAUAUAUACAUGUCACAAAAUCACUUCACAAGUAUGCACCUCACUCACAAAUGCUUUCUAUGCAUUGUCACCUCGAGAAUCAUAUAAUACCCCAUAAUAUUAUACCAUAUCAAGUCAAUUUAAUUAACACACAUAACCAGAACCCUUGGUUCUUCUAGAAACCUCUAGGAUAUCAUCUCACCCUAUCAAGCACAGCAUCUGAACACUUUUGUGUAUCCUUUUGAGCAUCAAUCCGUAACCAUCACCAUGAAAGGCAUCCGAAAACCUUUGAGUGUCACCCUACAAUGUCUCUCGAUGGCAAUAUCUUCCCUUGAAUCCUUCGAUGACGGAAUUUUUCGUAUGAUCAUACGAAUUAAGCACACUACCGGUUUUAUAUUCCACUUUAGGCCAAAGCAUGAAUGCCCCUAGAGUGUGCCAAGUGAUGUGUAACUCAUGACCUAUCGGAAAUGUAUAGAUAAAAUAUGCCAAGCAUGAAAUGAGAAUCGUGACUUGACCUAUUAGUUCGAGCACCGGGCUAAGUCAAACCCAAAUCGGACGAUACGCCUCAAUAUUGCCAAACCAAGAGAGUGACCUGGCCCGGCAUGCUUCCACACAUGUCCAAGAACUAAUGCAAUUCUAACUUUAGAGGCUCAGUCUGGUUUCAAGCAUCAACCAUGACUUAUGGACAACAAUAUGUGAAGACCACACCUAGAAAUCAAUAACAGCCUCUACGACCAAUCAUAAUAGCAUCACAUAAUGAAAACACAUCCAACAAUAGAUACAACACAGUGUCUAAGCUAAGUUAACAAUUAAAGUAGAAUUACAAGAGACAAUCACAAGAUUACACAUCCAAAGAACUAUAAACAAGUCUUGAAAACAAUACUAAUCUGCAUCACAUAAGAUCACACAUCCAAUCCUAACAACCAAAAUUAAGAACUAAAAUCAACAAACCAUAUACAACUAUCAUGGCAAUUUCUUUGGGCCAAGCAAUAACAUACACAUAAAUGGUCCAUUCCUACUAACAACGAUGAUCCGGACAAUCUCAACAACCACUUAAUCAUUUCUCACCUAUUUCUGAAUCUUAUAGUUGAGAUAGCUAGUAUAAGCACCUAGAGGGGGGUGAAUAGGUGCACAAACAAUUUCUCGAGAUACGGAAGCGAUUCUAGGCAAACGAUAGAAAGGAAAAUACGAUCAAAGUAAAGUAAAGGUUAUGGAAGAGAAAAUUGAACACAAGAUUUAUAGUGGUUCGGCUUAUUCCAAGCCUAUGUCCACUCUUCCGCACUGACAGCCCACUAGCUGGAUUUCACUAUGAACAAAAGAGAAGUUACAGCAGAGCUUUUCCUUGAGUCCACAGUGUAGAUGUUCUACCACACUUCCUCAAAGUUUCUCACGAAUAUAGACUCUCUUUUGUUUACACGAUUUUGCUUAACAAAUGAAUUGACUAAAAACAAGGAGCUUCAGACUUUGGAAUUCUUCUAUCGUGCACACUCUCGAAUAACUGGAACGUCUUCCUUAUAUACUCCUUCAUGCCAUCAUACCCAUUGGCACUUACCAAAGGAAUUCCUCCAAUCUACCCGUUGGACGGAAUCAAUUAGAAAGAUCAUUCGAGCUAUUAAAGGAACGUGUCAAUAACCCAUCAAUCAUGUUCGCCCAUACAAUCAGGAUCUCGGUUUCCAUAAGUAGAACCUUCCAAGUAUACUUUGCCAAUCAUCGGAUCCUUAAUCUUCGAAUCAAUUAUGAUCAAAUAAAAGAUUCUGUUAUGUCAUAUUCAGCCAAGAGAUCUUCUCCAGUCGAUAAGGCAACAUCUUUAAUGAAACAUCUAGUUCUGGAUAGCCUUUCUUCAACGGAUUAGAAACUGUCAAUGAGGAUAGACUUUGAGUCUUGAGUCUGGUUGUCCGGAGGUCUUCAGACUUUAAAUAGCAGAGUUUGCAAGCCUUCAGACUAGACUGAUGGAAACGUUUUGUCAACUUCAAAACACUUCAAGAGGAUUUCUCCAACAAUCUCCCCCUUUUUUAUGGUGACAAAACUUUCCUGCAGAUUUGGAAAACUUUGACCUGCAAAACAUUUCUCAAACACAUAUGCAUAUCUUAUAGAGAUAAAUGGCUAAAUGAAUAACACUAGAAUCUACAACCACAGAAAAUAGGUUAGUCUAGUCUGAAUAACACUAGAAUCUACAACCAUAAGAUAUCAAUAGUAGUUAAUAAUAAGCAGUCAAAUCAAAAUCCCAAAUUUAGUCCACAUCCAGACACACAAGUCAAGUCAAAACAAACUACAAACCAAACAAGCCAAAAGUUCGACAAAUUUAAGUUUAAAGUUUUUCAAAUCUCGUAACUCUCCCCCUUUUUGUCAGCAUAAAAAAAAUUAAGAUGAAAAUGGAGUGGAGUCAAGAAUGCUUGGGAACACGAACAAGCUGGAAAUCUCCCAUCGACUGAACGAUGCCUUCCAGCCUUUUCAAGUCUUCCUUCAGUUGUGCAACAUCCUCACCCUUAGCAUUAGCGUGAAUCUGAAGAGAAAUGGCUUGGAUUUGAUCAUUCAAUGAACCUGAAAAAGCUUGUCCUGCAUUCUGCAAGUUCUGAAUUUCGCAUCCCAAUGCAUAUAUCUGACAUUGCAUCUCCAAAAGAAUAUCCAUCACUCUGCGAAAGUCUGCUGAAUUGUCGAUCUGCGUACUGGCGUUGGCACGAUAUGAUGGAGUAAAUGCAGACGAUGGUAGAUCAGCAUAAUCAUGCAGAUUUGGCGAAGAAACAUCAUGACCUUCCUCAGGAAACUGAGAUGCAUAAAUAUCCUCUGGAUCUGCUGGGGAUCGACUGACUCCCUCACUGGUUACAAAAUUUGAGGACAUGCCUCUUUUCUCUUGGUCUCCCCCUGUGUUCAUGCCUUCAGGUGGAGAGUGCUCCUCAUGUUCUCCUUCUUCUUGAUCUCUUUUCUUUUCUUCUUCUUUUUCAACUCUCUCUUUCUCAGCAUCUCUUUCUUCUUCUUCUUCUUCUUCUUCUUCUUCUUCUUCUUCUUCUCUUUCCUCCGUUUCUUUUUCCUCUGCUUCUUUCUCUUCUCUUUCUUCUGUCCGCUGUUCUGAGUCUUUCUCUGGAACAGAUCGACAUUGUAGAAAUAGUGAUGUUAUCCUCAUCAUCUUCAUCCUCAACGAUGAGAGCUCUUCUUUUCUUGGAUGGAGCAUCCAUGGGCUCCUUCCCUUUUCUUUUUUCUGCAGAAGAGAAUUGAUGAGAUUUGACUGGAGUCUUCUCCUUAAAUUUCUCCAAUGCCUUGCUUAGUUCCUUCAGACGCAUCUUGGUCACCAUUUUCAGUCCUACCACCAUAUGAUCGCACGAUCGAGUACAAAGAAUUUGCGGAGGCUGAAUGUUCAGAUGUCUGAAUAACUUCGUCACAAGACCUGGAUAAGGAAGUUGACCUCUGUCCUUCAUCACAGCUCUAUACAUGUGGAACAUAACAGUGUGAGGAAGUGAAAACCUUUUCCCAGAGAUGAUGGCAUACAUCAACUUUGCCUCUGAACUUGAAACAUCAGUUUUGGAAGUUGAUUUCAGUCUGAGGCAAUUGAUUACAAUCUUGUGCAGCAAGAUGUUGAAUGCACUCAUCCUUGAGUAGGAAAUCUUUUCCUCUGUUCUCCUGUCCUUAACAAGUUCCAGUGUAGCACGAGCAAUAGAAACUUUGAUCCGUUGAUAUCUUCCUCUCUCCACUCCUAACACAUCUGCUAGCAUAUCCAUAUCCACUACAAAGUCUUGAUCUUUGACACUGAAAGAGAAUUUAUUCGCAUCCAAGAAACUAAGAUUUGAAUAGAAAUAUGCAGUUAGUUGAGGAUAGGCCUCUAUGGUGUCAGAGCAGAAUUUUUCAAGUUGAAGAUGACCGAACUUUUCCCUCAAGUUCACAUUCACAGCAUCCAGAAAAUCAAAAUCCACACUCCUAGGGUUUAUCACCCCACGCUUCAGCAAUUUUGAGUAUAGAUCCUUCUGUUCCUUCGAUCUAAACAACUCUUCCCUUUUUCCUCGAUUUUCCGCCGCAACUCUCAUUCUUGGUUGAAAUUGGCUGUAUAAUUUGUCAUCAUCAUUUCCAUCUACCGGAUUAAAUCCCCAAUCACGAGGAUCACUUGGGAUGUUCGCAAGGGUUUCUUCUGCCACCCCUUUACGAGCAAUUCCCAAACUUUCCAUUUUUCGCAAAAGGAUAUAUUCAUUUCCAUAUCCUUUGUCCUUAAGAAAAUCAUCGAGAUAGUUCAAUGGAGUACCAGUCCCUAUUAAAGCACGAUACAACUUAUAAAUAAAAGAGGGCCUUUGAACUCUUACAGGAUCUGCACCUUCAAUGAUUUAUUCAUUUUGUUGAUGAUCAACAUCUUGAGGACUAGAUGGAGGAGAAUGACACUGCUGAGAAUGUUGUGGGCUCUACUGCUGAUUUGGAGACACUUCUUCAAUGAGAUCGAAGUGUGUAGGCCCCUCACUCAUUCGCCGUGGUCCCCUGCUUGCGAUCCUCGAAGACUUUCUUGAAGACGACAUCUUUCUUAGUCUUUGAAAGAUUCCUUGCUUGACUUUCCCAAGAAAGAUGACAACUUUUUCGAAGAUUAAACAAGAGAAGAAAAUAGGAAUGGAAGAUUGGUGCUUUUUAGGGUUUUGGAGUUAAGCGAAGAGAAACUGACUGUAUAUAAGACAGUCAAAAGGAGGGGAUACCAAACGACAUAAUGGAAAGUGAAAAGAUGCCUUUAAAAAAAUAACUGCCUUUUUCGAAAAAUGGUCAUUUCAAAAUAACUCUUUUUUCUAAAGGAAACGAUGCAAUAAUCUCGUCAAUUAAAGAUAGCGGUUGAGAUAACAAUAAUCAAACACAGUUGAUGAACGUACCUUUUCAAGAUGAGAUUAGAGAGAGAAUAACUUACAGUCAAAGUCUUGCAGUCAAAGUCUUAUUUGUCUGUGUCUGAGAGUCUCUAGACUUUAACUUCUUCAAACCUCAAAAUGUUGAGUUUGGAACGGAUAAUUUCAAAUUGAUUUUUCUCCAAAGGCUUUGUAAAUAUAUCCGCCAGUUGGUUCUUUGAGUCAACAAACUGAAUCGUAAUUUCUCUAUUUUGAACAUGAUCUCUAAUGAAGUGAUGUCGAAUCUCUAUAUGCUUUGCUCUUGAGUGAAGAAUUGGAUUUUUGGUGAGAUUGAUUGCGCUGGUGUUGUCACAUUUAAUCUCCGUGCAUGAAUCUUCAAUUCCAAAGUCUCUUAGCUGUUGUUUUAUCCACAGAAUUUGUGAACAACAACUUCCAAGAGCUACAUAUUCUGCUUCUGCUGUAGAGAGAGCUACUGUACUUUGCUUCCUUGAAAACCAAGACACUAUCCUACCUCCAAGUAGUUGACAAGUACCUAAGGUGCUCUUUCUAUCAACUCUGCAUCCGACUAAGUCUGCGUCUGAGUACCCAAGAAGAGUAAAGUCUCCCCUUUUAGGAUACUAGAGACCAAAACUUGAAGUUGAUGCAAUAUAUUUGAUAAUACGCUUUGCAGCAUUUAAAUGUGAUUCUUUAGGGUCUGCUUGAAAUCUGGCACAAAUGCAAACACUAAACAAAAUGUCAGGUCUAGAAGUAGUAAGAUAAAGAAGUGAACCGAUGAUACUCAUGUAUAACUUUUGGUCGACUUUCUUUCCUCCUUCAUCUUUAUCUAUCUUCAAGGAACUUGACAUUGAUAUAUCGGCCUUUUUGCAAUUGUCCAGUCCAAACUUCUUCACAAUAUCAUUAGCAUAUUUUUCUUGAUGAAUAAAAGUUCCUUCCUUCAGUUGUUUCACUUAAAGUCCAAGAAAGAAGGUUAACUCACCCAUCAUGCUCAUUUCAAAUUCAUCCUGCAUAGUCUUAGAGAAUUUCUUGCAUAAACAAUUUCUCGAGAUACAGAAGCGAUUCUAGGCAAACGAUAGAAAGGAAAAUACGAUCAAAGUAAAGUAAAAUAAAGGUUAGGGAAGAGAAAAUUGAACACAAGAUUUAUAGUGGUUCAGCUUAUUCCAAGCCUACGUCCACUCUUCCGCACUGACAGCCCACCGGCUGGAUUUCACUAUGAACAAAAAAGAAGUUACAGCACAGCUUUUCCUUGAUUCCACAGUGUAGAUGUUCUACCACACUUCAUCAAGGUUUCUCACGAAUAUAGACUCUCUUUUGUUUACACAAUUUUGCUUAACAAAUGAAUUGACUAAAAACAAGGAGCUUCAGACUUUGGAAUUAUUCUAUCGUGCACACUCUCGAACAACUGGAACGUCUUCCUUAUAUACUCCUUCAUGCCAUCAUACCCGUUGGCACUUACCAAAGGAAUUCCUCCAAUCUACCCGUUGGACGGAAUCAAUUAGCAAGAUCAUUCGAGCUAUUAAAGGAACAUGUCGAUAGCCCAUCAAUCAUGUUCGCCCAUACAAUCAGGAUCACGGUUUCCAUAAGUAGAACCUUCCAAGUAUACUUUGCCAAUCAUCGGAUCCUUAAUCUUCGAAUCAAUUAUGAUCAAAUAAAGGAUUCUAUUAUGUCAUAUCCAGCCAAGAGAUCUUUUCCAGUCGAUAAGGCCACAUCUUUAAUGAAACAUCCAGUUCUGGAUAGCCUUUCUUCAACGGAUUAGAAACUGUCAAUGAGGAUAGACUUUGAGUCUUGAGUCUGGCUGUCCGGAGGUCUUCAGACUUUAAAUAGCAGAAUCUGCAGGCUUUCAGACUAGACUGAUGGAAACGUUUUGUCAAUUUCAAAACACUUCAAGAGGAUUUCUCCAACAAUAGUCCAAGCACAUCAUGAACUAGAUUUGUUGCUCAAACUAAGGGGUCUCCCCCUAAUGGGCGCCCUUUCCUCUUGAUUGGCCUCCAAGAAUUUUGUCUCAUCUCAAUUAAAUCUCAAGAAGCUAAAUUGGUCUCAUUUCUAGAGCCACCAAAGUCUUUAUAAUUAAAUUAGCACAUUUCUCAAAUCAUUUUUACUGUGUCCAUUAAUAUUUGGACUAACUCUAGGCUUGUGAUCCUUCUUUCCCUGAUUCUGCUAGCUUGUCCAUACAAAGCUUCGAAUGGUGCCAUUCUGAUACUCUGCUGAUAGCUGUUAUUGUAGGAGAAUUCGACAAGAUCUAAUUGCUCUUCCCAACUUCCUUUAAAAUCAAGUACACAAGCUCAUAGUAUGUCUUCAAGAGUUUGAAUCGUCCUUUUUGAUUGGCCAUCUAUUUAUGGAUGAUAGGUUGUGCUAUACCGAAGUUUCGUUCCUAUGGCCUUCUGAAGGCUCUUCCAAAAUGCAGCAAUGAACUUGGGAUCUCUAUCCGAGGUAAUCGUCACUGGUGCUCUGUGAAGAUGAAUUAUCUAUGGGACAUAAAGUCUUGCCUAUUCUUCCAAUGAUAAAUUUUUUUGUACAGCCAAGAAAUGGGUUCACUUGGUCGCCAGUCGACUAUCACCUAAAUAGAAUCAUGACCUCUUUGGCUCUUUGAAAGUCCCAUGACGAAGUCCAUUGUGAUGUGCUCGCAUUUCCAUUCUAUGAUUUCUAGUGAUUGAAGUAAUCCAACAAGCUUGCAGUGUGAUGCCUUUAUUUGUUGACACAUCAAACAUUUGGCAAUGUGCUAGGCGAUAUCAACUUUCAUGCCAUUCCACCAGUAAUAUUGUUGGAGAUUCCGGUAUAUCUUCGAUCUACCUUAAUGUAUGCUAUAAAUGCUUUGGUGUGCUUCUGAUAAGAUUUCCUCCUUAAGUUCCGCAUUGUUGGGUAUGCACAAUCGCCCACGGAAUUUCAAUGCUCCAUCUUCCAUUACUUGGAAAUUUAGCUUUUUCUUUUCCGAAACUCCUCGACUUUUCUAGAAUUCAGGAUCAUUUUGUUGCAAUAAUUUGAUCUAUGAUUGCGUGAAUGAUUUCUAAUUUGAGUUCCCUAAAUUAGAAAUCAUACACGCAAUCAAAGAUUCUUGCGCUGAAAGAACUAGAACGCCUCUGCCACUGGGUCAAUCCCAAGUUGGGUAUGAUGUUAAAAGUUAAUCGACAUCAAAUCCAAACUUUAAAAGACUACAAAGACGGAAACAUGAAACUAGAGAUCAGUGUCAUCUCAAAUGCGCUGGAUGUAUUAACCUCGAGCGGGUGGCAGCAUACGUAUUUGAGCCCCAACACAUUCUAAAAAUGGAACAUGAAACAUAGCACGACAAACAUAAGGAACAAGAAUCAUAGUAGAGGACAUUAUCAUGAACCUACUACGGGCAUGCGUAAGAUACGAGAGAAACAGAAUGGUCAAACGCUUGCCAAGAAGUUGUCCAAUUGGUCGAAAUCUCACAAUCAAGUUGGUUAUGAGUUUCGCAAAAAAAGCAUCUGAACUUCAAGCUGGAACCAACUAAAGCUUCUCGAUGAGGUUCGAAUGGUACGUUGAAAACGAAAUAUAAGCAGCUUCUUCUAACGGAAUGUCCUCUAUUAGUCCUUUCUGAAUAAAUUUUACCAAAAAAAAAAAAAAAAAACUAGAUUAGAUAAUUAAGGGAUCCGUGACACCAACGAGUAAGAAUUUUUCUAGUUAUACCCGCUCUUCAAGAACAUCUAACUCCAGAAAUUUUAACAAUUUGUUUGAAUGAUACAUAUUAUGACCGGAUCCUGCGAAUAUUUCGAUUCCACCAAACGAUGUCACCAUGGUUUCUAUCCGAUUAAUUAUUGACAAAGCAAUAUAUGCAAUUUGUGAGGGUUGUUUUAGCUAAUGCGAGUCCUUGAUAAAUAAAUAAUAUUUUAAACUCCACAGGUUUUGAAUCGCAUAAAACUGAUCCGAAUUCCUUUUUAUAUGAAUCUUGAUUUGUACGAAUCCCCUUCAUGUCAACCUAACGAUGAAGAAAACGACAGAGCAGCAAUUUUGUGUCGAUUGUCCGCCCCUAUUUAAGUGAGCGAACUUUGCAUCAGAUGAUCACCAGAACAAAGCUUGCUUCGAAUUAAGCUAAAAAGAUUUCGUACUGCAAGAGAUGGACUCUUGGCUUCAAAUCCUUGUUCUCGUUGCGUGCAUCACUCCGGCUGUGGUCCAGGGCAGAGUUCGGAACUACACAUUCAAUGUAAGUAAUGACACAAUGGAAUGAAGUAUUCCUCUGUAAAACUUGCUUGCGAGGACGGUAGCCCGUGUACUGAUAUGUGUUUAUUCCUCUAAUUGGCAGGUGGUAAUGAAGAAUACGACGAGGCUGUGUUCGAGCAAGCCCAUCGUGACCGUGAAUGGGAUGUUCCCGGGACCCACUCUCUACGCUAGGGAAGACGACACCGUGCUCGUGAGGGUCUCCAACCGUGUCAAAUACAAUGUCACCAUCCAUUGGUAAGCUCAACCGAGCUCUAAAUUAAACUACUAUCUUUAGGAAAUCGCACAUUAAUUUUGGUGUAUAUGCGGUUAGGCAUGGUAUUCGGCAGCUGAGGUCGGGGUGGGCCGACGGGCCGGCAUACAUCACCCAAUGCCCAAUUCAGCCAGGCCAAAGCUAUGUGUACAAUUUCACCAUCACGGGCCAACGGGGCACCCUCCUUUGGCAUGCGCACAUACUCUGGCUCAGGGCAACCCUGCACGGAGCCAUUGUCAUCUUGCCCAAGCGCGGUGUUCCAUACCCUUUCCCUAAACCCCACAAGGAAGUUGUUGUCGUACUGGGUAUGCUCGAUUUCACUUCCAAUCUACUUCGCUUGGUUGACAGCAUAUACUAGUAGAAGCUCUGAACCAUUCUGGGUUUUGUGAAUCAGGCGAAUGGUGGAAAUCUGAUACAGAAGCUGUGAUCAAGCAAGCCAUCAAGUCCGGAUUGGCACCAAAUGUCUCCGAUGCUCACACGAUCAAUGGCCAUCCAGGGCCAAUUUCCAAUUGCCCUUCCCAGGGUAACAAUCCAUCGACAAACAUUGCCAUGAAAACAUCAUCUGAAUCUUGAUGUCACGUUUUCAUGAAAUAGUUUAAUUUAAUGUUUCACUGAGUAGAUGCUGACCAUCUUUGUCUCUGAUGUAAGGUGGAUUUACAUUGCCUGUCGAGAGUGGCAAGAGAUACAUGCUUCGAAUCGUCAAUGCUGCACUCAAUGAGGAGCUCUUCUUCAAGAUCGCCGGGCACCAGCUGACCAUCGUGGAGGUUGAUGCCACCUACGUCAAGCCUUUCAAGACCGACACGAUUGUGAUCGCGCCUGGCCAAACCACCAACGCCCUCAUCUCCGCUGACCAAAGCUCAGGCAAGUACUUGGUCGCAGCAUCCCCUUUUAUGGACUCCCCGAUCACCGUGGACAACAUGACCGCAACUGCCACAUUACACUACUCUGGCACGCUCGCCGCGACUUCCACGACCCUCACCAAGACUCCCCCACAAAACGCCACCGCUGUGGCCAACAAUUUCAUUAACUCUCUCCGAAGCCUCAACUCGAAGAUAUACCCUGCCAAAGUCCCGCUUACAGUUGAUCACAACCUCCUUUUCACGGUUGGACUAGGAAUCAACCCUUGCCCUUCGUGCAAAGCUGGCAACGGAAGCAGAGUCGUGGCAAGCAUGAACAACGUGACGUUUGUGAUGCCGACGACAGCCCUUCUCCAAGCACAUUUCUUCAACAUAAGCGGCGUCUUCACGAGCGAUUUCCCCGGUAACCCGCCGACCACUUUUAACUACACAGGGUCACCGCCAACAAAUUUGCGGACCACGAGUGGGACAAAGGUGUACCGGUUGCGUUAUAACUCAACAGUCCAGCUCGUGUUACAAGAUACUGGGAUCAUCGCCCCGGAGAACCACCCAAUUCAUCUUCACGGGUUCAAUUUCUUCGCGGUCGGGAAGGGACUGGGAAAUUAUAAUCCAAAAGUGGAUCAGAAGAACUUCAAUCUUGUCGAUCCUGUUGAGAGGAACACAAUAGGAGUACCGUCUGGGGGUUGGGUUGCAAUCAGAUUCAGAGCAGAUAAUCCCGGUACAAUUCUAGUUUAUCGACUAUUCUCAUUUACUCUCCAAUCUAUACUAUAAUUUUAACUACUCUGCAAGUUUUUCAGGACUCUGUUUUUGAAAAUUUUUGCAGGCGUUUGGUUCAUGCAUUGUCAUCUGGAAAUUCACACAACCUGGGGACUCAAGAUGGCCUUCUUGGUGGACAAUGGGAAAGGCCCAAACGAGUCGCUGCUACCGCCUCCAAGCGAUCUUCCGAAGUGUUGAUCCAUGAGGAGAAAUUCUAUAGUCAAGUAUGCAGUAGCUCGAGAUGAAGAGUGAUGAG